RNAcentral lists this long non-coding RNA (313 nucleotides) under Salvia miltiorrhiza (redroot sage). RNAcentral describes it as "long non-coding RNA (SMIL_LNC004294)". Lineage: Eukaryota; Viridiplantae; Streptophyta; Magnoliopsida; Lamiales; Lamiaceae. The record is from RNAcentral.
UUUUUUUUUUUUGUUGACGGGGGAUAAACUUCGGUUAUUAUUCGAGAUGUGCACUAAAAUAAAAUUAAUAUUUUGAUCAGAAUUGUAUUUUUUUUUUGUUAUGUGAGCUACAGCCGUAUCAAAAAUGUCGCUAAGUACUACUCAAAAAAAAAAAAAAUGUAUCUAAGUAAACUCAUGUUUGACCAAUUGCAAUUGUUUUACUUUUCUAUAAAGAUAAACUACGAUUCAAAAAUUUAAAUAUACCGAUUCUAAAAUAAAUAAAUAAAAAUUAAAUAUACCGGAUUAGAGGUAAAACAUUUAAUCUCAAGUAAAC